UGAAGACAUCUCUUCAAAUGGCAGAUUAGU
This 30-nucleotide non-coding RNA is filed under the name Macaca fascicularis (crab-eating macaque). Lineage: Eukaryota; Metazoa; Chordata; Mammalia; Primates; Cercopithecidae. The record is from RNAcentral. RNAcentral also lists the same sequence under 1 other name.